GGAAGUAAAGUCGUAACAAGGUCUCCGUUGGUGAACCCGCGGAGGGAUCAUUAUCGAGUUUAUAACUCCCAAACCCUAUGUGAACUUACCACUUGUUGCUUCGGCGCGCGCUUCGGUGCCGCCGAGGACACUUAAACUCUUUGUUUUUAUAAGCAUUUCUGAGUGGCCGAAAGGCAAAAUACAAAUGAAUCAAAACUUUCAACAACGGAUCUCUUGGUUCUG
This 222-nucleotide unclassified non-coding RNA is filed under the name plant metagenome. Its description in RNAcentral is "partial contains small subunit ribosomal RNA, internal transcribed spacer 1, and 5.8S ribosomal RNA". The stretch from base 1 to 53 matches the Rfam family "Eukaryotic small subunit ribosomal RNA", at positions 1778 to 1831 of the family's 1831-position model. The record is from RNAcentral.